Molecule: ribosomal RNA, 254 nt
Filed under: uncultured Stenotrophomonas sp.
Lineage: Bacteria; Pseudomonadati; Pseudomonadota; Gammaproteobacteria; Lysobacterales; Lysobacteraceae
Description: partial 16S ribosomal RNA
Rfam family: Bacterial small subunit ribosomal RNA
Source: RNAcentral
CGGACGGGUGAGGAAUACAUCGGAAUCUACUCUGUCGUGGGGGAUAACGUAGGGAAACUUACGCUAAUACCGCAUACGACCUACGGGUGAAAGCAGGGGAUCUUCGGACCUUGCGCGAUUGAAUGAGCCGAUGUCGGAUUAGCUAGUUGGCGGGGUAAAGGCCCACCAAGGCGACGAUCCGUAGCUGGUCUGAGAGGAUGAUCAGCCACACUGGAACUGAGACACGAUCCAGACUCCUACGGGAGGCAGCAGAC